UGAGUGACAGCAAUUAGGACCACGGCU
Molecule: non-coding RNA, 27 nt
Filed under: Homo sapiens (human)
Lineage: Eukaryota; Metazoa; Chordata; Mammalia; Primates; Hominidae
Source: RNAcentral